UGGGGAAUAUUGGGCAAUGGGCGCAAGCCUGACCCAGCAACGCCGCGUGAAGGAAGAAGGCUUUCGGGUUGUAAACUUCUUUUAAGAGGGAAGAGCAGAAGACGGUACCUCUUGAAUAAGCCACGGCUAACUACGUGCCAGCAGCCGCGGUAAUACGUAGGUGGCAAGCGUUGUCCGGAUUUACUGGGUGUAAAGGGCGUGCAGCCGGGAAGACAAGUCAGAUGUGAAAUCCCGCGGCUCAACCGCGGAACUGCAUUUGAAACUGUUUUUCUUGAGUACCGGAGAGGUCAUCGGAAUUCCUUGUGUAGCGGUGAAAUGCGUAGAUAUUGGGAGGAACACCAGUGGCGAAGGCGGCUUACUGGACGGUAACUGACGUUGAGGCUCGAAAGCGUGGGGAGCAAACAGGAUUAGAUACC
This 416-nucleotide ribosomal RNA is filed under the name uncultured bacterium. Its description in RNAcentral is "bacterial SSU rRNA". It matches the Rfam family "Bacterial small subunit ribosomal RNA", at positions 355 to 786 of the family's 1533-position model. The record is from RNAcentral.